This 253-nucleotide ribosomal RNA is filed under the name uncultured bacterium. Its description in RNAcentral is "partial 16S ribosomal RNA". It matches the Rfam family "Bacterial small subunit ribosomal RNA", at positions 524 to 776 of the family's 1533-position model. The record is from RNAcentral.
GACGAACCGUACGAACGUUAUUCGGAAUCACUGGGCUUAAAGGGUGCGUAGGCGGCGCAGAAAGUUGGGUGUGAAAUCCCUCGGCUCAACCGAGGAACUGCGCCCAAAACUACUGUGCUCGAGGGAGACAGAGGUGAGCGGAACUUAGGGUGGAGCGGUGAAAUGCGUUGAUAUCCUAAGGAACACCGGUGGCGAAAGCGGCUCUCUGGGACGGUACUGACGCUGAGACGCGAAAGCGUGGGGAGCGAACAGG